GGCAUAAGAUGAUCCGGAAGUCAGCAGCAAGAACGUAAACAAAAAUGCAAUGGCUUCCAGACCGAACUCGGCUGGGCUUCAGCCCUCUGCGACAGAAAAACUCAUACCAAAGCCAUCUUUAGGACAAUAUGUUUUUACUGAAAAGCUUGGCAGCGGUACAUAUGCGACUGUUUACAAAGCUUAUAGUAAGACUGGUGUGAGAGAAGUAGUCGCCAUCAAAUGUGUGUUGAAGAGCAGCCUUAAUAAGGCAUCAACAGAAAAUUUGCUUACAGAAAUACAGCUGCUAAAGAAUCUUAAACAUGAGCACAUUGUAUCUCUCAAGGAUUUUCAGUGGGACAAUAACUACAUAUACCUGAUAAUGGAGUUUUGCAGCGGAGGAGAUUUGUCACGCUUUAUUCGCAGCAAGCGGGCAUUACCUGAACACAUUGUGAAGAGAUUCUUACAACAGAUAGCAUCAGCCAUGAAGUUUCUUUGGGACAACAAUGUGGCCCACAUGGACCUCAAACCCCAGAACAUUUUACUCACAUCAAGCUCCAGUCCACAAAUCAAGUUGGCAGAUUUUGGAUUUGCCAAACAUCUGUAUGAUGGUGACAACUUGCAUGUGAUGAGAGGUUCCCCACUCUACAUGGCGCCAGAGAUUAUCUGCCGAGGAUCUUAUGAUAACAGAGUUGACCUGUGGUCUAUAGGGGUCAUAUUAUUUGAGUGCCUGUUUGGGAAGCCUCCAUUUGCUUCUAAAAGUUUCAAGGAACUUGGAGAGAAAAUAUGGGAUCAAAAACCUGUAGAGAUUCCUGCAGGCUUUGAUGUAUCUGGAAAAGCGAGAGAUCUCACACUCCGUCUGUUACAAAGACAGCCAAGGGACAGAAUCACAUUCGAAGAGUUCUUUGCACACCCAUUUGUUGAUAUGAAACACAUUCCUUCAAAAGACUCUCUGCCAAAUGCUGUUGAAACAGUGUCUAAAGCGAUAAAUAAAGACAAUGAAGGAGAUUAUAAAUCAGCAGUGCGGUUAUACUGUGAGGCUUUGGAGUAUUUCAUGCCUGCUAUACACUAUGAAAAGAGCACCCAGAAAAAGGAGUCAUUAAGAGCAAAGGUGAAGGUCUACAUAAACCGUGCUGAGACACUUAAGCAACUGAUGAAGCCACACUCAAGUUCCAGACCACCGAGACCGCCUCCACCCAUGAGCCCUUACAAAGCGUCCCCCACCAGUAGUAAUAAAUCCACUUCAAAAGACUCGCCCCAUCAUUCGUCUCAGAAGUCUAAGUCUCCAGAAACAUCACCAGAAUCAAAAGCAGUCCCAUCGGCUUCCAAGACGCCCAAACCAGAUUUGUUGUCUGACCCUGUGGAGAAGUCUUCUGCAGAUGGGUCUCCAGGGUCCAGACCUGAAGAGAAUACAUGUGCGGAGUCGUCCCCACCUGGUGCAGUCAACAACUCUCCAUCCUCUACCUCCCAGUCGUUUGCCAGAUCCAUGUCCAAUGAUGUGCUGGAAGAGCUCAUGUCUCUUUGCUCUGAUUCUCAAGAGCUCAUGGCAGUGCUGAAACUUGUGAAUGCUGCCAUCUUAGAGGCCACACAUUGACUUGGAAAUUUUUCGCUCGUCACCUGGUUGCGAAGUAUGGUGAGCGGGCAAAAAUCACCUCGUCUGCACACUCACAGCUGCAUGACAAGGAGAAAUUGUGAACAAGAGGAGAAUUAUGAAAGCUGCCUUCAUCAUUAUGAAAUUGCUUUGGGAGCAGUGCUGAAG
RNAcentral lists this unclassified non-coding RNA (1735 nucleotides) under Aplysia californica (California sea hare). RNAcentral describes it as "serine/threonine-protein kinase ULK3, transcript variant X1". The record is from RNAcentral. Lineage: Eukaryota; Metazoa; Mollusca; Gastropoda; Aplysiida; Aplysiidae.